AUAAAUAAGCGGAGGAAAAGAAACCAAACGGGAUUCCCUUAGUAACGGCGAGCGAAAAGGGAAAUGUCCAGCACCAAGUCUUGACAUCUACGGUGUUCAAGAGAUGCGGUGUUAAUGUAUCGACCCAUCGUGCACUGUUCCACAUUUCAAGUUCCUACGACCGGGACUUCCAGAGCGGGUGUAAGACCCAUAGAGAUGAGGAACCAGUGUAUGCUGAGCGAUGCAUUCUAGAGUCAGGUUGCUUGAGAGUGCAGCUUAAAGUCGGUGGUAAACUCCAUCCAAGACUAAAUAUUACAGCGAGACCGAUAGCAAACAAGUACCGUGAGGGAAAGUUGCAAAGCACUUUGAAGAGAGAGUUCAAAAGUACGUGAAACCACUGGGAGGCAAACAGAUGGAACCACGAAGUGUGCGCCUCGGUCGAUUCAAUCAUCACCAUUUGUCAGUUUUUGGUAAUUAGGAUCUUUUMGGAGRUUGAUUGCCAAGAACUAUGAUGAAUGGUGUUGGUGCAUUUCGUGCCGGGGAUGCUAAGCCACGUUCAACUAGAGUUGGGACGGCUGUAAGAAAGAAUCCGAGAAAGGUGCCCGUCACGUGCUUGCAUUUGACGGUGUUAUAGUCUUGGAUUGGCACCGUCACCUAACAUACUGGUUGAUGCAAAUUCUCCAUUCGGAGUUGAACCAUGUCUGCCUGUGGCUGUUAGUCGAUGUUGCGUAAUGUUCUUUGCGUAUCUUUCGAUGCGAAAAGACUUUGCAAAGAUGYCGGCUAAUGGYUGCUUGCGUGACAUGGUGGAACUGUGGCGCGAGUAGGUCGGUCUCCAUCUGACCCGUCUUGAAACACGGACCAAGGAGCCUAUCAUAUACGCGAGUCGCACGGUCUUGUUUAGGCCUGUGAGGCGGAAUGAAAGUAAAGUUACGAGGCUUCGGCUGCAGUAACGGCUCGCCCACUUUGUUUAUUGGCAAUAUGGCGAAGCUGGAGCGUAUACGAUGGUACCCGAAAGAUGGUGAACUAUGCCUGGGCAAGACGAAGCCAGAGGAAACUCUGGUGGAGGUCUGUAGCGAUUCUGACGUGCAAAUCGAUCGUCAGACCUGGGUAUAGGGGCGAAAGACUAAUCGAACCAUCUAGUAGCUGGUUCCCUCCGAAGUUUCCCUCAGGAUAGCAGGCGUUUAUUUGGCAGUCUCAUCCGGUAAAGCUAAUGAUUAGAGGUCUUGGGGUUGAAACGACCUCAACCUAUUCUCAAACUUUAAAUGGGUGAGAUGGUUGACUUUCUUGAUUGAAGCCAACCAUUUGGAUGCAAAUGCCUAGUGGGCCAUUUUUGGUAAGCAGAACUGGCGCUGUGGGAUGAACCAAACGUCGAGAUAAGGCAUCAAAUGCGUACGCUCAUCAGACCCCAUGAAAGGUGUUGGUUGCUAUAGACAGCAGGACGGUGGCCAUGGAAGUCGGAAUCCGCUAAGGAGUGUGUAACAACUCACCUGCCGAAGCAACUAGCCCUGAAAAUGGACGAUGCUGUAGCGUGGAGCCGAUACUCGACCGUUAUGACGAUUCCGUUAAGAAUGCGAUGUCAUAACGAGUAGGAGGGCCGCAGUGUUAGCGUUGAAGGUGUCCGGCGUGAGCCGGCCUGGAGCUAUCAUUGUU
Molecule: ribosomal RNA, 1629 nt
Filed under: Proctophyllodes aff. pinnatus AD1128
Lineage: Eukaryota; Metazoa; Arthropoda; Arachnida; Sarcoptiformes; Proctophyllodidae
Description: eukaryotic LSU rRNA
Rfam family: Eukaryotic large subunit ribosomal RNA
Source: RNAcentral